RNAcentral lists this long non-coding RNA (208 nucleotides) under Brassica rapa (field mustard). RNAcentral's name for it is "long non-coding RNA (BRAP_LNC006411)". The record is from RNAcentral. Lineage: Eukaryota; Viridiplantae; Streptophyta; Magnoliopsida; Brassicales; Brassicaceae.
UUUUUCUUAAAUGCAUUAUAUAUUUUAAUGAAAUCUACUUUUUAAAAAAAAAAAAAAAUAUUAGUAAUUUCAUCUAAUUAGAUGUUGAUAGCAAAAAAAUGAAAUAUACAUUUCUAAUAUUUUUUUAUAUAGACUUAAAAGAUUCUAUGAUAUUGAAGCUUAUUUUACAAACACUCUCGUUAAUCAUUUGCAGAAAUGUAUAUUUUUU